UACGUAGGGUGCAAGCGUUGUCCGGAAUUAUUGGGCGUAAAGGGCUCGUAGGCGGUCUGUCACGUCGGGAGUGAAAACUCAGGGCUUAACCCUGAGCCUGCUUCCGAUACGGGCAGACUAGAGGUAUGCAGGGGAGAACGGAAUUCCUGGUGUAGCGGUGAAAUGCGCAGAUAUCAGGAGGAACACCGGUGGCGAAGGCGGUUCUCUGGGCCGAUACUGACGCUGAGGAGCGAAAGCGUGGGGAGCGAACAGG
RNAcentral lists this ribosomal RNA (253 nucleotides) under uncultured bacterium. RNAcentral's name for it is "partial 16S ribosomal RNA". It matches the Rfam family "Bacterial small subunit ribosomal RNA", at positions 524 to 776 of the family's 1533-position model. The record is from RNAcentral.